RNAcentral lists this ribosomal RNA (491 nucleotides) under uncultured bacterium. RNAcentral's name for it is "partial 16S ribosomal RNA". It matches the Rfam family "Bacterial small subunit ribosomal RNA", at positions 29 to 507 of the family's 1533-position model. The record is from RNAcentral.
AGUGAACGCUGGCGGUAGGCCUAACACAUGCAAGUCGAACGGCAGCACAGUAAGAGCUUGCUCUUACGGGUGGCGAGUGGCGGACGGGUGAGGAAUACAUCGGAAUCUACUUUUUCGUGGGGGAUAACGUAGGGAAACUUACGCUAAUACCGCAUACGACCUACGGGUGAAAGCAGGGGAUCUUCGGACCUUGCGCGAUUGAAUGAGCCGAUGUCGGAUUAGCUAGUUGGCGGGGUAAAGGCCCACCAAGGCGACGAUCCGUAGCUGGUCUGAGAGGAUGAUACACAACACGGCACCAAAAGACCGUGCCGGCUUCCAAGGGGGGCAGCAGUGGGGAAUAUUGGACAAUGGGCGCAAGCCUGAUCCAGCCAUACCGCGUGGGUGAAGAAGGCCUUCGGGUUGUAAAGCCCUUUUGUUGGGAAAGAAAAGCAGCAGGUUAAUACCCCGCUGUUCUGACGGUACCCAAAGAAUAAGCACCGGCUAACUUCGUG